RNAcentral lists this ribosomal RNA (465 nucleotides) under uncultured bacterium. RNAcentral describes it as "bacterial SSU rRNA". It matches the Rfam family "Bacterial small subunit ribosomal RNA", at positions 338 to 795 of the family's 1533-position model. The record is from RNAcentral.
CCUACGGGUCGCAGCAGUGGGGAAUAUUGCACAAUGGGCGCAAGCCUGAUGCAGCCAUGCCGCGUGUGUGAAGAAGGCCUUCGGGUUGUAAAGCACUUUCAGCGGGGAGGAAGGCGAUAAGGUUAAUAACCUUGUCGAUUGACGUUACUCGCAGAAGAAGCACCGGCUAACUCCGUGCCAGCAGCCGCGGUAAUACGGAGGGUGCAAGCGUUAAUCGGAAUUACUGGGCGUAAAGCGCACGCAGGCGGUCUGUCAAGUCGGAUGUGAAAUCCCCGGGCUCAACCUGGGAACUGCAUUCGAAACUGGCAGGCUAGAGUCUUGUAGAGGGGGGUAGAAUUCCAGGUGUAGCGGUGAAAUGCGUAGAGAUCUGGAGGAAUACCGGUGGCGAAGGCGGCCCCCUGGACAAAGACUGACGCUCAGGUGCGAAAGCGUGGGGAGCAAACAGGAUUAGAUACCCCCGUAGUC